CCUACGGGAGGCAGCAGUGGGGAAUAUUGGACAAUGGGCGCAAGCCUGACCCAGCAACGCCGCGUGUAUGAAGAAGGCUUUCGGGUUGUAAACUUCUUUUCUGCGGGACGAAGAAAGUGACGUUACAUCCGUAAUAAGCCACGGCUAACUACGUGCCAGCCGCCGCGGUAAUACGUAGGUGGCACGCGUUACCUGGAUUUGUUGGGGGUAAAGGGCGUGUAGGCGGGAAAGUAAGUCAGAUGUGAAAACUCAGGGCGUAACCCUGAGACUGCAUGUGAAACUGUUUUGCUUGAGUGCUGGAGAGGCAAUUGGAAUUCCGUGUGUAGCGGUGAAAUGCGUAGAGAUACGGAGGAACACCAGUGGCGAAGGCGGAUUGCUGGACAGAAACUGACGCUGAGGCGCGAAAGCGUGGGGAGCAAACAGGAUUAGAUACCCCGGUAGUC
Molecule: ribosomal RNA, 443 nt
Filed under: uncultured bacterium
Lineage: Bacteria
Description: partial 16S ribosomal RNA
Rfam family: Bacterial small subunit ribosomal RNA
Source: RNAcentral